AUUGAACGCUGGCGGCAGGCCUAACACAUGCAAGUCGAGCGAGCGGCGGACGGGUGAGUAAUGUAUGGGGACUGCCCUAUAGAUAGGGAUUACUACUGGAAACGGUGGUUUCUACCGCAUACUGUCGGAUAACCAAUCUGUGAUUAGCUAGUAGGUAAGGUAAUUUCUUACCUAGUCUACGAUCCCUAGCUGGUCUGAGAGGAUGAUCAGCCACACUGUGACUGAGACACGGCCCAGACUCCUACGGAGGCAGCAGUGGGGAAUAUUGCACAAUGGGCGCAAGCCUGAUGCAGCCAUGCCGCGUGUAUGAAGAAGGCCCUAGGGUUGUAAAUUACUUUCAGUCGGGAGGCGUUACCGACAGAAGAAGCACCGGGUAAAGAAGAGCCAGCAGCCGCGGUAAUAC
RNAcentral lists this ribosomal RNA (403 nucleotides) under uncultured bacterium. RNAcentral describes it as "partial 16S ribosomal RNA". It matches the Rfam family "Bacterial small subunit ribosomal RNA", at positions 30 to 526 of the family's 1533-position model. The record is from RNAcentral.